Molecule: unclassified non-coding RNA, 1881 nt
Filed under: Schistocerca americana (American grasshopper)
Lineage: Eukaryota; Metazoa; Arthropoda; Insecta; Orthoptera; Acrididae
Description: polyadenylate-binding protein-interacting protein 1, transcript variant X2
Source: RNAcentral
GAGUUUUACCUGUGUGCGUAUUGUAUAUUUUAUAGAUGUGUGGACUGUCAGUUUGUUCUGCGUGCGGUGAAGUUCGUGUGUAAUCGUUGUUGGUUAUUCGUCCUUGUGUAUUGUUUUGAUACAGCUCCUAAAUAUGAAUAAUACUCCAGACUCGGAAGGAAAUGGUUGCGGCAGAGGCAGAGGUCGUGGCCAUGUAGACUGGUCCAAACCAUUACGCCGGCCACAUCAGAGCACAAUUACUCCAGGGAAAAUACAGGAGGGACCAACAACAUAUGCUGAUUGUGCUGAGGCAGCUGGAUUGCCUGGAAAUUCUGAACAGGUCACUGGAGCAGGACUUACAGUCCAAGAUCCUCAGUGUGAAAGUCUUGAAAAAGAUGUACUAUGCUUCAUGUCUAAUUUUAUAAUGGAGGUAACUAAUUCACCAGGUAGUUUUGAAUUUGAAUCGGAGGUGGCACUGAGAGAUUUAAACAACUGGGCAACAAAUGCAUCAAUUACACAAAAAGUAUCUAUGAUGAUUGUUGAAGAGUCCAUCACACAACCAAAUUUUAGGUACAGUGGUGCAAGGCUUUGCAGCACAUUGAUCAAAAAAUGUCAAGAUAUGCAACUAGAUACAUUUUGGGACAGUUUAAAUUCCGAGUUGAAAGAAGAAAGAGAAAAGGCCACUGAUCUGCUUCAUGAAAAUCCAGAGAGACUUCGUGGUUUCCUGAUGUUUUUGGCUGAGCUGUUUGUGCAGCUUGAAGGGGAAACUUUUCUUUGCACUGAAAUUUGUUACAUUAUAGAUCUUCUGCUAUUCAAUGAAAUGCCGGAAAAUGUGAAGCGUGUAUGCCAGACGUUAAAACUGGCUGGCAGAUACAUAGAUUCGAUGGAUACUGUUGCAAUGGAUAGAAUCAUGAAUAAACUUUGUAAAUUAACAAAUAAAGCCACGUGUGAUAAAAGCUUAUCAUGUCAGAUAAUGUCGGUGGCAGAACUCCGCAGGGCAAGUUGGGGCAGUAAUGUGAAUGAAGCACCAAACCAAAAUUCAGAGUCCUCAGUGGUUAAUGUCGGAAGUGAUCCAAUUUUUUAUGGCCCUGAUGGCAGUAUUCUGUCUGCAGAGGAGAGUAAAUUCCUUGAAGAGAAUUAUGAAGAAGUAGGAACAGCUGGUGAAGAUGAUAUGGUAAUUUGGGAUUAUGAGGAUCCAAUGAAUGGACUAGAUGAUGCAUUUGAGGAAUUCCUGAGGUUCUCCAAACAGCAGUAAAACUAAUAACUUGUGCUGUGAAAAUCUCAUCACAAAAACAGUAAUUCUUGAGAUAUAGAACAUCAUCGACAUCAAUGCCACCGAAGACUGUCGACACUAAUGUCAACAUCUGACAUUAGACAACUAGCAUUUUUUUCUUGACAGUUUUAUACAUGCAGAAGGCUUGUGAAUUAUGUUUUCAGAUGAAGAUUAUGAAUACAGUAAACUCUGGAUUAUGUAAAUGGUGAGAAGGUGAUGAAAAUAGCACAAAGGCAAGAAACUGGAAAUGAGAAAUACUGUCUAUAUAAAAAUGUUUUGCAUUUUUGUUAGUAUAAAUUGCAAGGUCUUUAAACUUUCAGAAAAUAGAAUUUGUUUGCUUUCAAUAGUUCCUGGUUUACUACAAAAACUGCAAAUAAUACUCAAAUAUUUUGUCACUGACUGGGGGCUUAAAAAAUCAAAUCAAAUCGAGGAGAUCCAUUUCAAAAUGAGGAAUUACAAGAAUCUCAACAGAAGUUUGAGAAGAAAUGGGGACCAAAGUUAUAAAAUUCAGAUUUUACUGUAUUUUCCUUUAUAUUAGUACCUGAUUUUUUAAUUUAUACGAGUUCGCCAGCAAGGGGUGUGUGUGUGUGUGUGUGUGUGUGUGUGUGUGUGUGUGUGUGUGUGUGUGU